CGCCGGGGACGCGUGGGCCUUGUGCUUGCGCGCCCUCGCUCGCGUCGCGUUGGGCUUUCGUUGCGCGUGCACCCCUGCGUGUGCGUGCCCGUUCGCCCCUCGCGGUGCCUUAACCAACCCCGGCGCGAAUUGCGCCAAGGACUUGUUAACGAGAGGGCUCGCUCCCGUCGCCCCCGGACACGGUGCGUGCGUGCGGGACGCGACGCCUCCUUUCAUUAUCUAUAACGACUCUCGGCAACGGAUAUCUCGGCUCUCGCAUCGAUGAAGAACGUAGCGAAAUGCGAUACUUGGUGUGAAUUGCAGAAUCCCGUGAACCAUCGAGUCUUUGAACGCAAGUUGCGCCCCAAGCCCUUUAGGGCCGGGCACGUCUGCCUGGGUGUCACACAUCGUUGCCCCCCCUCCCAAAGAUCUAACGAUUCUUUCGGCGUGGGUGGGCGGAAAUUGGCCUCCCGUGCGCUCGCCCGUGCGGUUGGCCCAAAUCUGAGUUCUCGGUGACGCUUUCCCGCGACAGUCGGUGGCGUUUGAAAAACAACCUAGUGAUCCUGUCGUGCGGUUGCGUUCUCCCGACCACGAGCUCUUCGA
This 582-nucleotide unclassified non-coding RNA is filed under the name Mangifera indica (mango). RNAcentral describes it as "partial contains ITS1, 5.8S rRNA and ITS2". The stretch from base 227 to 382 matches the Rfam family "5.8S ribosomal RNA". Lineage: Eukaryota; Viridiplantae; Streptophyta; Magnoliopsida; Sapindales; Anacardiaceae. The record is from RNAcentral.